AAGGAUUUUGGUCUGAUAACUUUGGAGGAACUACAUCAACAGGUGUUGAAGGGAAGGGGCAAGUUCGCCCAGGAUGUCAGUCAGUAGGUCUUGUCUUCCAAUCCCUUGGAGUACAGAAAGAGAGAUGACCUGAUCAGAGCCAUCAAGAAACUAAAGGCACUUGGCACUGGCUUCGGCAUCAUCCCUGUGGGCGGCACUUACCUCAUUCAGUCUGUUCCAGCUGAGCUCAAUAUGGAUCACACCGUGGUGCUGCAGCUGGCAGAGAAGAAUGGCUACGUGACUGUCAGUGAGAUCAAAGCCAGUCUUAAUUGGGAGACCGAGCGAGCGCGGCAAGUGCUGGAACACCUGCUGAAGGAAGGGUUGGCGUGGCUGGACUUACAGGCCCCAGGGGAGGCCCACUACUGGCUGCCAGCUCUCUUCACUGACCUCUACUCCCAGGAGAUUACAGCUGAGGAGGCCAGAGAAGCCCUCCCCUGACUGCGUGUGGAAGGGCACACAGCAGCAGGCAGGGAGGAGGAGGUGGUGGCAAAUAAACCUGGGCAGUUUUGUUUAUAAAAAAAAAAAAUAGAAAAAA
This 574-nucleotide small RNA is filed under the name Pongo abelii (Sumatran orangutan). RNAcentral describes it as "processed transcript". The record is from RNAcentral. Lineage: Eukaryota; Metazoa; Chordata; Mammalia; Primates; Hominidae.